GAUCAUGGCUCAGGAUGAACGCUAGCGGCAGGCUUAACACAUGCAAGUCGAGGGGCAGCAUAAUGGAUAGCAAUAUCUAUGGUGGCGACCGGCGCACGGGUGCGUAACGCGUAUGCAACCUACCUUUAACAGGGGGAUAACACUGAGAAAUUGGUACUAAUACCCCAUAAUAUCAUAGAAGGCAUCUUUAUGGUUAGAAAUUCGAUGGUUAGAGAUGGGCAUGCGUUGUUA
RNAcentral lists this ribosomal RNA (231 nucleotides) under uncultured bacterium. Its description in RNAcentral is "partial 16S ribosomal RNA". It matches the Rfam family "Bacterial small subunit ribosomal RNA", at positions 15 to 241 of the family's 1533-position model. The record is from RNAcentral.